RNAcentral lists this transfer RNA (98 nucleotides) under Shewanella violacea DSS12. RNAcentral describes it as "tRNA-Gly (GCC) (tRNA-Gly-GCC-3-1)". Lineage: Bacteria; Pseudomonadati; Pseudomonadota; Gammaproteobacteria; Alteromonadales; Shewanellaceae. The record is from RNAcentral.
GCGACAUUAGCUCAGUUGACUCUUUGUUUAGAGCAAAAGGGCGACACCUUGCCAAGGUAUAGGUCAUCGGUAUUUUGUUUCGAAUCCGAUAUGUUGUU